Molecule: long non-coding RNA, 847 nt
Filed under: Dermacentor andersoni
Lineage: Eukaryota; Metazoa; Arthropoda; Arachnida; Ixodida; Ixodidae
Description: uncharacterized LOC126528257
Source: RNAcentral
UGCCUUUGUUGUGUGUUUCUACCCAACCAGUCAGCGCCUCUACCCAGUCUUCGAAGUCCAUGUCGUCAACGGCUGGUAGUAACUCCUUGACUGGUUGUGACCCGUGGGCUAUCUACAACCACGAGACGAGGUUCCCGACUCUGGAAACAACCGCUGUACUGGUCGUGGUCUGUGGGCUGAGUAUGACCCCGAGGCUGGCUGCAGCUCCGGCAUGGACUUCGAGCCUGUGAGUGGGAGCAUGACCUGGUCUAGUUGCGCCCGCAAGACUAGAUAUUAUCUGGAGACUGGAAAGCGCCCCUAUACUUGCACCGGCCCUGGGAGUGCGUGUGUUGCUGAGACUGGCAGCGCCCCCUGGUUGGAAAUGACACCUGGAUUGUCUGCGACCCCAUGACGUCAUGAUUACGAUACUGGCAGGGCCCCUGGAUGAAUAGCGGCCCUGACCUGACAGCGAACCCUGGGCUGCCUGCAGCCCCUGAACUGGCUGAAAUCCUAGCACACUAUUGUAAUCCAGACACUGGCAACUACCCGAGCACUGGUGGUAGCGGCCACUGGACGGUCUCCAGGCCUGGGACUGGGUGUGGUCCUGAGACAGAUGUGAUCUGAAAGCUAGCAGUGCUCCAUGACGUUCAGCGAUAGUGCCGCACGGUUUCACUCUGAUCCCUAGACUGACUGCGGCUCCAGAUUUCCCGUGCGCCAUAAUCUGGCUGGGAGCUCGGGACUGUCUGCGAUUCAGCCAAUGCCAUUGAUUCCGAAGCUACCUGUAAUCUCGACAGUGGCAGAAAUCCAGGAACGCGCAGCAAUCCUUGGGCUUGCAGUGGCUCGGGACGUGCUCCCGCCCUCGGAAUGA